Long non-coding RNA from Lates calcarifer (barramundi perch), 534 nucleotides. RefSeq lists it as uncharacterized. The transcript is spliced from 4 exons. The record is from RefSeq and is a predicted model, not a curated record. Lineage: Eukaryota; Metazoa; Chordata; Actinopteri; Centropomidae.
UGUUGAGAAGAAAGUAAGGGAGUCACUGUUAACAUGGCGCUCAGUCAGUUUCUGUGUGGCUUCACUGUGGUGAUCAUUCUCUUAUCCAAAGGUUGUCAGUCACAGGAUUGCGGCAAAGCUCCCACAAAUACCAGAAUCGUUGGAGGUCAGGAUGCGCCCCCAGGAAGUUGGCCCUGGCAGGUCACUUUGAUUGAAGACAAUGAGCACUUCUGUGGGGGGGUCACUGAUUAACAACCAGUGGGUGCUGACAGCUGCUCACUGUGUAAGAGGGUCUCCAAGUGUAACAGUUUAUCUGGGCCGCCACAGCCAGUCAGGUCCAAACAACAAUGAAGUGUCACGAGGAGUCACUAAGAUCAUUCUCCACCCUUUAUAUGACUUCCUGAGCAACAACAACGACAUAGCUCUGCUGAAGCUGUCGGCCUCUGUGAAUUUUACUGACUACAUAAGACCAGUAUGCUUGGCCUCAGCAAACAGCACUUUCCACACUGGGACUAACAGCUGGGUCACUGGUUGGGGGUGUUACUUUGCCUGAUG